AGUGAACGCUGGCGGCGUGCCUAAUACAUGCAAGUCGAACGGAGAUUAAGUAGCUUGCUAUUUAAUCUUAGUGGCGCACGGGUGAGUAAUAUAUAGCUAAUCUGCCCUACACUAGAGGACAACAGUUGGAAACGACUGCUAAUACUCUAUACUCCUUCUAAGCAUAAGCUUAGUCGGGAAAGUUUUUCGGUGUAGGAUGAGGCUAUAUCGUAUCAGCUAGUUGGUAAGGUAACGGCCUACCAAGGCUAUGACGCGUAACUGGUCUGAGAGGAUGAUCAGUCACACUGGAACUGAGACACGGUCCAGACUCCUACGGGAGGCAGCAGUAGGGAAUAUUGCUCAAUGGGGGAAACCCUGAAGCAGCAACGCCGCGUGGAGGAUGACACUUUUCGGAGCGUAAACUCCUUUUCUUGGGAAAGAAUUAUGACGGUACCCAAGGAAUAAGCACCGGCUAACUCCGUGCCAGCAGCCGCGGUAAUACGGAGGGUGCAAGCGUUACUCGGAAUCACUGGGCGUAAAGGACGCGUAGGCGGAUUAUCAAGUCUCUUGUGAAAUCUAACGGCUUAACCGUUAAACUGCUUGGGAAACUGAUAAUCUAGAGUAAGGGAGAGGCAGAUGGAAUUCUUGGUGUAGGGGUAAAAUCCGUAGAGAUCAAGAAGAAUACCCAUUGCGAAAGCGAUCUGCUGGAACUUAACUGACGCUAAUGCGUGAAAGCGUGGGGAGCAAACAGGAUUAGAUACCCUGGUAGUCCACGCCCUAAACGAUGUAUACUAGCUGUUGCUUCGCUAGUCGAGGCAGUAAUGCACCUAACGGAUUAAGUAUACCGCCUGGGGAGUACGGUCGCAAGAUUAAAACUCAAAGGAAUAGACGGGGGACCCGCACAAGCGGUGGAGCAUGUGGUUUAAUUCGAAGAUACGCGAAGAACCUUACCCGGACUUGAUAUCUAACAAAUCAUCCAGAGAUGGAAGAGUGUCUGCUUGCAGAAAUGUUAAGACAGGUGCUGCACGGCUGUCGUCAGCUCGUGUCGUGAGAUGUUGGGUUAAGUCCCGCAACGAGCGCAACCCACGUAUUUAGUUGCUAACGGUUAGGCCGAGCACUCUAAAUAGACUGCCUUCGUAAGGAGGAGGAAGGUGUGGACGACGUCAAGUCAUCAUGGCCCUUAUGUCCGGGGCGACACACGUGCUACAAUGGCGUAUACAAUGAGACGCAAUAUCGCGAGAUGGAGCAAAUCUAUAAAAUACGUCCCAGUUCGGAUUGGAGUCUGCAACUCGACUCCAUGAAGCCGGAAUCGCUAGUAAUCGUAGAUCAGCCAUGCUACGGUGAAUACGUUCCCGGGUCUUGUACUCACCGCCCGUCACACCAUGGGAGUUGAUUUCACUCGAAGCCCAAAUACCAAAUCGGUUAUGGUCCACAGUGGAAUCAGCGACUGGGGUG
This 1434-nucleotide ribosomal RNA is filed under the name Campylobacter rectus. Its description in RNAcentral is "bacterial SSU rRNA". It matches the Rfam family "Bacterial small subunit ribosomal RNA". The record is from RNAcentral. Lineage: Bacteria; Pseudomonadati; Campylobacterota; Epsilonproteobacteria; Campylobacterales; Campylobacteraceae.